GACGAACGCUGGCGGCGUGCUUAACACAUGCAAGUCGAGCGGGAUCCAACCGGUGGCAACACCGGGGAAGAUCUAGCGGCGAACGGGUGAGUAACACGUGAGCAACCUGCCCCGAAGACUGGGAUAACACCGGGAAACCGGUGCUAAUACCGGAUGUCGUCAUUAGGCCGCAUGACCUGAUGAUGAAAGGAUUCAUCGCUUCGGGAGGGGCUCGCGGGCUAUCAGCUUGNGGUGGGGUAACGGCCUACCAAGGCGACGACGGCUAGCUGGUCUGAGAGGACGACCAGCCACACUGGGACUGAGACACGGGCCCAGACUCCUACGGGAGGCAGCAGUGGGGAAUCUUGCGCAAUGGGCGAAAGCCUGACGCAGCAA
This 375-nucleotide ribosomal RNA is filed under the name uncultured bacterium. RNAcentral's name for it is "bacterial SSU rRNA". It matches the Rfam family "Bacterial small subunit ribosomal RNA", at positions 28 to 394 of the family's 1533-position model. The record is from RNAcentral.